CAUUUGUGUGAGCCACGUAGAAUCCGACGUGGCCAAGAUGACGUGGCAUUGUUAGUGACCAAUUCGAAUCAUCAUAGGUUUUAAAGCCCAAUCGACCAAUCUAGCUUAUAUGGGCCUGGCCCAAUACCUAUUUUACUAUUGAAAAUGCCUGAUUUGUUUUGUUUGAAGCAUUAUUUUGCUAGAAGCACUCAAAUUACAAGAUAGGUCCAUUAAAAAACAAAUACAACAACAGGAUAAAAGAUUGCAGAUAAACUGUAUAUUUCAUUUCAGUACCACAACACAUGAAAUACAAUACAUCAUUCACCGACUCCUCCACACAUUAAGGUUCAAGGCCUGACAAGUGACAUCAAAAUAAUUUUACAAGUGCACAACAGAAUACUUCUGCAGGUGCAAGUGCACAGAAAAAGGACCCAACAAGUACACAAUCGCACAUAAAGAGAGUUAGACAAAGAUUAAAUGAGAAGCACAAGUUUCUUCUCAUCCUCUUUCUCUGCAUAAUAUGCCAUUCUUGCCAUUGAUGCUUGCAAGAAGAAAAUGAUUAUUUGCCAUUGACACCUGCAAGAAAGCACGAUUCAGAUGUGUUGCAUCAUCAAAGUCAAGAGUCGAGAAAUGAACAAGGUCAUAGAAAACAUCAUCUAACACAAAUACAAAUUCGCAGUUACUUUAAUUGGCUGCGAGACAUUUCAAAACAAAAUAUUUUUUUCAUGCACUUUAGUGAUACUUUGUGAAGGCUUAUUACAACCAGUAGUAACUAGUUAAAAUAGUUCUAGUUAACAGCAGUGCUACUAGCAUCAGGUCUACUAACAAGUAACAGCAGUGCAUUUAACAGAAAUAGGGAAAAGAACAAUACGAUUAUGCAUCUGCACACUUCACUAGCAGUAUGUUAUACCUUCAGACUCCUACUACUGCAUUGUUGACUUCUGUGCAAAUGGAGAACAUGUUGGGCGCACCUAUAUCAUGAUGGCUGAGAUCUGAAUUGGCUUCAAGAGUGCACUAUUAUGGUAUGUAGGGUAUUCUUGUGAAGAUCCUACACGCCAUUAGAUUUCAAAAGUAAAUGACAACAGUUAUGGUGAAU
Molecule: long non-coding RNA, 1075 nt
Filed under: Hordeum vulgare
Lineage: Eukaryota; Viridiplantae; Streptophyta; Magnoliopsida; Poales; Poaceae
Description: long non-coding RNA (HVUL_LNC020216)
Source: RNAcentral